Molecule: ribosomal RNA, 500 nt
Filed under: uncultured bacterium
Lineage: Bacteria
Description: partial 16S ribosomal RNA
Rfam family: Bacterial small subunit ribosomal RNA
Source: RNAcentral
ACUCAAAUGAAUUGACGGGGGCCCGCACAAGCGGUGGAGCAUGUGGUUUAAUUCGAUGCAACGCGCAGAACCUUACCAGGCCUUGACAUGGGUAGUAUGGGCUCCGGAGACGGGGUCCUUCAGUUCGGCUGGCUACCACACAGGUGCUGCAUGGCUGUCGUCAGCUCGUGUCGUGAGAUGUUGGGUUAAGUCCCGCAACGAGCGCAACCCUCGCUUUCAGUUGCCAUCAUUCAGUUGGGCACUCUGAAGGAACUGCCGGUGACAAGCCGGAGGAAGGUGGGGAUGACGUCAAGUCCUCAUGGCCCUUACGGCCUGGGCUACACACGUGCUACAAUGGCGGUGACAGUGGGCAGCUACCCCGCGAGGGGAUGCUAAUCCAUAAAAGCCGUCUCAGUUCGGAUUGCACUCUGCAACUCGAGUGCAUGAAGUUGGAAUCGCUAGUAAUCGCGGAUCAGCAUGCCGCGGUGAAUACGUUCUCGGGCCUUGUACACACCGCCCGU